Molecule: non-coding RNA, 85 nt
Organism: Talaromyces stipitatus ATCC 10500
Lineage: Eukaryota; Fungi; Ascomycota; Eurotiomycetes; Eurotiales; Trichocomaceae
Source: Rfam
AGGAAGGUUCCAUUAUUGGUAAAAUGGGUUGAGCUGUAAACUCAAUAGCAAUAUGCUUGUAUGAGUUCGAAUCUCUUGCUUCCUA